This 269-nucleotide ribosomal RNA is filed under the name uncultured prokaryote. RNAcentral's name for it is "partial 16S ribosomal RNA". It matches the Rfam family "Bacterial small subunit ribosomal RNA", at positions 524 to 792 of the family's 1533-position model. The record is from RNAcentral.
UACGGAGGGUGCAAGCGUUGUUCGGAAUUAUUGGGCGUAAAGAGCGUGUAGGCGGUUUGGUAAGUCGGAUGUGAAAGCCCUGGGCUCAACCCAGGAAGUGCAUUCGAUACUGCCAUUCUUGAGUAUGGGAGAGGAGAGUGGAAUUCCCAGUGUAGAGGUGAAAUUCGUAGAUAUUGGGAGGAACACCCGUGGCGAAGGCGACUCUCUGGACCAAUACUGACGCUGAGACGCGAAAGCGUGGGGAGCAAACAGGAUUAGAUACCCUUGUA